CAUAAUUCCAUCCGGUACGUUAGCCGCGUGAAUGACGUUAAUGAUGACGCUGCAAGUAAAGACAAUGGGACGUAGGGAUUGAAGGUAUGGCUUUAGUCGUCGUUGCGUCGAAGCCUUCAGCUGCGGAUGGUCAAUAGCUGCCGCUGCCACUGCGCGGUGUGAGAGGCGAUUUUCAUCUCGAUUUUGGCAUUUAUAAAUCGGAACUCCCGCUCUGUAGGACCGAUUCCGAUAUUUUUAGAUGCUGCGAUCGCGAUCGGCCUAGACGUUGCAUGCAGAUUUCGGCUUCGGAAUGCUCGGGACUAAUUAUAGCUUAUUAGCAUAAUAAUGGACAUUCGUCUCUCCUCGAUCGUGACAGGAUAAGAGGAAAUCCGGCGAAAGGGAGAGAAACUGAAAUUUUAGAGAAUGCAUUUUUUAUGAGAUGAGGGAUCGAGAUAUCUGAUGAAACUUAAGAGAACUUGUACUUGUAUUUGUUUUUGUUUUUGUUCGAAUCAGAAAUGCAGGAAGGUAUAAAAUAUAAUGAUUUUGCAGUCGUUAGAAAUAGCAAGAUUCAAGCGCAUAACUUAUAAUUAGAAAUAAAAAUAUUAGAAGGAAUAAAAUUACAAUUUAUACAGCAAUUAUUAUUAAUGCGAUCGCGUUAUAUAACAUAUAAAAUUAAAAUCCGUGCGAGUGAAUAAUGGAUCACGAGUUCUCGAAUUUAGAAUCGUUUGUAAAGAAAUCGAUACAUAUUAUUUA
Temnothorax curvispinosus is the source of this 732-nucleotide long non-coding RNA. RefSeq lists it as uncharacterized. The transcript is spliced from 3 exons. The record is from RefSeq and is a predicted model, not a curated record. Lineage: Eukaryota; Metazoa; Arthropoda; Insecta; Hymenoptera; Formicidae.